AAAAAGGGCUUCUGUUGUGAGUGGCACAGGUAGAGCAGAGAUUGAUUGCUCUACAUGCAGAAUCCACAUCAAGAGAUUUGGGAAGCAUAGUUUUUGGUAUUUGGGCAGCUGGUGAUCGUUGGUUCUGGUGCCCAA
This is a small nuclear RNA of Pipistrellus kuhlii (Kuhl's pipistrelle), 135 nucleotides long. RefSeq annotates it as U11 spliceosomal RNA. The record is from RefSeq and is a predicted model, not a curated record. The transcript has a single exon. Lineage: Eukaryota; Metazoa; Chordata; Mammalia; Chiroptera; Vespertilionidae.